Molecule: non-coding RNA, 1783 nt
Organism: Bemisia tabaci
Lineage: Eukaryota; Metazoa; Arthropoda; Insecta; Hemiptera; Aleyrodidae
Source: RefSeq, a predicted model, not a curated record
AAUAAGAUCGAUUAUUGAUUAUUGCUUGAGUAUUGCUCCUUUGGAAUGAUUACUCUGUCAAAUUUCAAUUUUAGGCUGCACUGGACGCAUUUCUGUCAAACGGAACUGUGUGCAUUAUGACGUGAGCCGUACUAAGCAUAUACUCUUAUGGGUCUCAGGGCUCAUGCCUUGAUGCACAUAGUUCCGCUUGAUAGAAAUACGUCCAACUUUAGAUGAUAUGCACUAGAAGAUGGGAAUCAUUAAGAAGCAGGAGCCCAACCUUAUAUUGACAGGAAAAAACCAUUGGGAAUCGAAAUUUUUUCUCGGCAUUUCUUACUUGCUUCACAGCCUGCGGUACAUGUCACUGAAAUCAAGAUCUUGGUAUAAAUUAUGCAAAAUUGUUUUUCUAACUUUUUCAGAUCGUCUGUAAAUAUGAUCCGCCUCCCACUAUGUCUACAGAUUACGUAACAUAUAGAUCACCUGCCCUGCCCUUUUAAAUAAAAAAUCGGGAAAACUAAAAAAGUAUAUUGGAUAAAAUUGCGAGUAAAUUCCAUAAAAAUAUUGAACGAAAAUAUUUUCAAGUUUCUCAGAAAACUCGAGUUUUAUCAGAGGAAAUUUGGCACCGUACAAGGGGCGAUAAGACUUUCUGCCAUAACACGGCGGCGUUGGGGCUGCCUGGAGAUGAUGAACAAAACAAGUUGGUUUUCAGGUGCCGGGGGGCGCCGCUUUCUCCAGCCUCCAGUGGACAGGACCAAGCCAAAUGAGUCUAUCAACGUGUCAAGCAUGAGCCUCGCUAAUAACAUAUCCCCUCACGCCCCAGAUCUCACGAUGAGGUGCAGAUGGACCCCUUCAGCUCAACAGGACAACUGUACAGUUCGUUUGGACGCGUCGUUCGUCCUAAUCAACUUAACUGCAUUUUGAAUGGGCAUCUAAGCAAAGUAUGAUGUAAAACACAACGUAAAAUGUUAACGAAGGGAACGACAAGUGAAAGGGUGGCGACAGAGGGUUUUAAAUGAAAUGAGGGAGUGCCAACUCUCUGAAGGGUUGUGAGAGAACAGGGUACUGUGGGGGUGAGGCGUCGCAGAGCACAAGAGAACGCUGUGAAAGUGGCUAAAAUAUGUACAAAGUUUGUCAAAAUUUAAAUUUUUCUUAUAUAUAAGAUAACUGAUUUGCAUGAAUUGCAAUAAACGGAACACGUUCCAGCAUUUCUGAAGCUAUAUCUGAAAGCAUCACCGAAGUGGUCCAAAUCUGUUUCAUUUUUUAAAAGAUUUAUGCAAAUUCAUGAAUUCGGAAAAAAAUCAUACCGAUGCAUAUAUGUGUAUGAUAAUAUUAUGCGAUGGAAGAAAAGUCAAUAGCAAAAUUCUUAGGUUUUCUUUACUAUAUUCAAACAUAACAUUUGUGAAAAUAACAGCAUAUAUGGUAUAUACAAAAUUUGCUUUGCAAAAAUUACAACCGAUGAUAGCAUGUAUACACAAUUAGACAAUGACUUCUGAUUGACAAAUUAUAAGAUAAAUCUCGGGGAAUUAUCUAAUGUUCGGUGUCUAGUUUGAGCGCGUUAGCAUUCAUGAUCACAAAAAUAGGUACAUCAUAGUAUUUACAAGAUUGCAAUUAUAUUAUCAAGUAUCAAGUUUACAGUUUCGAGUUUCAUCUGAGUCUCUUUUUUACUUUAAGGGCGUUGCUACACUGCAUUUGUAUCAAUAUUUUAAGUUUGUUUAUCUUCCUUCCAUUAUUUCCAAUUUUAUUAAUUACACCAUUUUUCUGCAGAAAUUUUGCGAUUUUGACUUUGUCAAUUUGCUGCAAUAUA